This 243-nucleotide unclassified non-coding RNA is filed under the name uncultured fungus. RNAcentral's name for it is "sequence contains ITS1". Lineage: Eukaryota; Fungi. The record is from RNAcentral.
UGCUUCAUUGUAUUUCAAAAGCAGACGACGUGUUCUCUGUUGGGCUGUCGUCCGCCGGGGGGCCCGGCCGGAGCCAGGUCGCCCCCGAGGCACAAAUCGUCUGAUACGACUUCAAGGGUGGGAGGUCGGGCCUGGGGCCCUUGCUCGGUAAUGAUCCCUCCGCAGGUUCACCUGAGAGAAAUGUUAGCAUAUUGGACCGUCGAAAGGCUGCAGGGCGGUUCUCGAUCUACUCACCUACGGAGA